RNAcentral lists this transfer RNA (75 nucleotides) under Candidatus Woesebacteria bacterium CG_4_10_14_0_2_um_filter_44_9. RNAcentral describes it as "tRNA-Cys". It matches the Rfam family "tRNA". Rfam says of the family: Transfer RNA (tRNA) molecules are approximately 80 nucleotides in length. Their secondary structure includes four short double-helical elements and three loops (D, anti-codon, and T loops). Further hydrogen bonds mediate the characteristic L-shaped molecular structure. tRNAs have two regions of fundamental functional importance: the anti-codon, which is responsible for specific mRNA codon recognition, and the 3' end, to which the tRNAs corresponding amino acid is attached (by aminoacyl-tRNA synthetases). tRNAs cope with the degeneracy of the genetic code in two manners: having more than one tRNA (with a specific anti-codon) for a particular amino acid; and 'wobble' base-pairing, i.e. permitting non-standard base-pairing at the 3rd anti-codon position. Lineage: Bacteria; Candidatus Woeseibacteriota. RNAcentral also lists the same sequence under 1 other name. The record is from RNAcentral.
GGCCACGUGGUGAAGAGGAAACACGGCUGUCUGCAAAACAGCUAUGCACCAGUUCGAUUCUGGUCGUGGCCUCCA